Molecule: ribosomal RNA, 253 nt
Filed under: uncultured bacterium
Lineage: Bacteria
Description: partial 16S ribosomal RNA
Rfam family: Bacterial small subunit ribosomal RNA
Source: RNAcentral
UACGAAGGGGGCUAGCGUUGCUCGGAAUCACUGGGCGUAAAGCGCACGUAGGCGGAUCUUUAAGUCAGGGGUGAAAUCCCAAGGCUCAACCUUGGAACUGCCUUUGAUACUGGGGAUCUCGAGUCCGGAAGAGGUGAGUGGAACUGCGAGUGUAGAGGUGAAAUUCGUAGAUAUUCGCAAGAACACCAGUGGCGAAGGCGGCUCACUGGUCCGGUACUGACGCUGAGGGGCGAAAGCGUGGGGAGCAAACAGG